RNAcentral lists this transfer RNA (86 nucleotides) under Heterorhizobium halophytocola. Its description in RNAcentral is "Rhizobium halophytocola tRNA-Leu". It matches the Rfam family "tRNA". Rfam says of the family: Transfer RNA (tRNA) molecules are approximately 80 nucleotides in length. Their secondary structure includes four short double-helical elements and three loops (D, anti-codon, and T loops). The record is from RNAcentral. Lineage: Bacteria; Pseudomonadati; Pseudomonadota; Alphaproteobacteria; Hyphomicrobiales; Rhizobiaceae.
GCGGACGUGGCGAAACUGGUAGACGCAAGAGACUUAAAAUCUCUCGGCCUAUGGCUGUGCGGGUUCGAUCCCCGCCGUCCGCACCA